RNAcentral lists this ribosomal RNA (397 nucleotides) under uncultured bacterium. RNAcentral's name for it is "partial 16S ribosomal RNA". It matches the Rfam family "Bacterial small subunit ribosomal RNA", at positions 523 to 918 of the family's 1533-position model. The record is from RNAcentral.
AUACGUAGGUGGCGAGCGUUGUCCGGAAUUACUGGGCGUAAAGGAUGCGUAGGUGGAUAUUUAAGUGGGAUGUGAAAUCCCCGGGCUCAACCCGGGAACUGCAUUCCAAACUGGAUAUCUAGAGUGCAGGAGAGGAAAGCGGAAUUCCUAGUGUAGCGGUGAAAUGCGUAGAUAUUAGGAGGAACACCAGUGGCGAAGGCGGCUUUCUGGACUGUAACGGACACUGAGGCAUGAAAGCGUGGGUAGCAAACAGGAUUAGAUACCCUGGUAGUCCACGCCGUAAACGAUGGGUACUAGGUGUAGGAGGUAUCGACCCCUUCUGUGCCGUCGUUAACACAAUAAGUACCCCGCCUGGGGAGUACGGUCGCAAGACUAAAACUCAAAGGAAUUGACGGGG